RNAcentral lists this ribosomal RNA (514 nucleotides) under uncultured Entrophosporaceae. RNAcentral's name for it is "SSU rRNA". It matches the Rfam family "Eukaryotic small subunit ribosomal RNA", at positions 569 to 1078 of the family's 1831-position model. The record is from RNAcentral. Lineage: Eukaryota; Fungi; Glomeromycota; Glomeromycetes; Entrophosporales; Entrophosporaceae.
AGCAGCCGCGGUAAUUCCAGCUCCAAUAGCGUAUAUUAAAGUUGUUGCAGUUAAAAAGCUCGUAGUUGAAUUUCGGGAUUGGCGCAUCGGUCGUGCCUCACGGGGUAUGAACUGGUGCAGUCAAUUUCUCACCUUCUGGAGAACCGCGAUGUCCUUAAUUGGAUGCCGCGGGGAACCAGGACCUUUACUUUGAAAAAUUAGAGUGUUUAAAGCAGGCAUUUUUGCUUGAAUACAUUAGCAUGGAAUAAUAAAAUAGGACGGCAUGGUUCUAUUUUGUUGGUUUCUAGGACCACCGUAAUGAUUAAUAGGGAUAGUUGGGGGCAUUAGUAUUCAAUUGUCAGAGGUGAAAUUCUUGGAUUUAUUGAAGACUAACUACUGCGAAAGCAUUUGCCAAGGAUGUUUUCAUUAAUCAAGAACGAAAGUUAGGGGAUCGAAGACGAUCAGAUACCGUCGUAGUCUUAACCAUAAACUAUGCCGACUAGGAAUCAGACGAUGUUAAUUUUUAAUGUACUCG